Long non-coding RNA from Strongylocentrotus purpuratus (purple sea urchin), 466 nucleotides. RefSeq lists it as uncharacterized. The transcript is spliced from 4 exons. Lineage: Eukaryota; Metazoa; Echinodermata; Echinoidea; Camarodonta; Strongylocentrotidae. The record is from RefSeq and is a predicted model, not a curated record.
CAUUCAGCUGCGGUUCACAGAGAUAUUCAAAAUAUACCAACUCUUCUCAAGAUUGUCUGAAAACCAAUAAUCAAAAUGGCCAAGGCUCUGUUCAUCGUCCUCGCUUGUGCUCUCUUCGUCGCCGUCCUCGCUGAUUACGAGCUCACCGACGACACCCUUGAAUUCUUUGAGACCGAGAAGAGGGGUCUGGGAAGGAAAAUGAAGAAGUACAAGACCUGCAUGCAAUACGGCAUGGAAUGCUGGUGCAACAGGCGUAGUGGUUCAGUCGUCUUCUGUAGCGGUGCCGGAAAUGGAGAUAACAUGUAAACUCUCUGAUAUCACAAGUUGACCAAUCCCGGAUCAGAAUGGAAUGACGUACGAAACAGUCUUGACCAAUCAAAUUCUCUCUCUUUCUCCGAUUUUCUUAACUGUUAAUGUUAUAGAUUCCAACAUUUAGUGAAACUGUAAUAAAGCUAUUUUAAACAAA